CCGGCCCCCAGGGCGUAUGCCCAGGUGGCAGCGGCCACCGGUAUGCCAUCUCACCCAUCCACCGCCUCCACUUCCAUCUAUAGUGGCCUGGGCCCCUUCCCCACCUUGACUAGAAGGCAUGGCAUCCGUUGCCUCCAGGUGCCCGCCUCACCGCACGUGGAGACCUACGUGCGGGCGUUGGCGAGGGUGGUGGGGCCCACGGCCAUCGUGGCGGCCUCCAAAAUGUAUGGCAAGGUUGUCCUUUUCCUUGCCUCGGAGGCCGCCACCCAAGAGGCGGUGGAGAAGGGCCUGGCGGUGGGGGGCGUAUUCGUCCCCCUGGAGCCGCUAGAGGACCUGGGUGUCCGUGUGGUCCUUACCUCUGUUCCUCCUUACCUUCCCAAUGUCACCCUGCUGCCCGCCCUUUCCACCCUGGGGAAACCUAUUUCCAUCGUUCGCCCUCUCUCGCUAGGCUGCAAGGACCCCGCCCUCCGUCACGUCCUCUCGUUCCGCCGGCACGUGCCGCUCCAACUGCCGCCAGCGGCACGUGCCGGAGAGGCGCUUGAGGGGUCUUUCUUGGUCCCCUAUCAGGGGACCCGUUACCGGGUGCACUAUUCUACGGGGGAGGCCCGGUGCUACCUCUGCCGGGCGAUAGGGCACGUCCGGAGGGACUGCCCCUUGGCCCGGCACGGAGGAGCGUCCGGGACCCCCGAGCCCCGGCAGAGUGCCAGCUCCACCAUUGCUAGCGCCCCUCGUUGUCCGGUACCCGGAGCCGCCCCUCCUCCUUCUCGGACCACCACUGCUCCCGCUCGGGCUCAAGGGGUACCUCCCCCACCAUGCCCAGACGAGCGAGAGAGCCCCGUCUCUGCUACGUGCACUGUGGCGGGGCCUGUAGAGGAGGGUGCGGUGGGGGUAUUGCCGGGCGCGGGAGAGGGCCCUCCCCAGGGGGAUUCUGCCCCCCCUCCUACUGCCCCAUUGUUACCUCCUCCGGUCCUCGAGCCGUCAUCUUUGUCCCCCGACCCAAUCCCUGUCACCCAGCCCGCAGACAAUGCCAUGGAGGGCUGGACCCUAGCACAGGGAAAGCGGGGCAAGCGGAAGGCUCGAGCUCCGCUCCUGCCAUCCGGUGCGGAGGCCCCUCGGAAAACCAGGAAGGGGGGCACCACUGCUGAGCCUUCCGCUUUG
This 1158-nucleotide long non-coding RNA is filed under the name Chrysemys picta bellii (western painted turtle). RNAcentral's name for it is "lncRNA (ENSCPBG00000011588.1)". The record is from RNAcentral. Lineage: Eukaryota; Metazoa; Chordata; Testudines; Emydidae.